AUUGAACGCUGGCGGCAUGCCUUACACAUGCAAGUCGAACGGCAGCGCGGACUUCGGUCUGCCGGCGAGUGGCGAACGGGUGAGUAAUACAUCGGAACGUGCCCAGUCGUGGGGGAUAACGUAGCGAAAGUUACGCUAAUACCGCAUACGAUCUAGGACUGAAAGCGGGGGAUCGCAACACCUCGCGCGACUGGACCGGCCGAUAGCAGAUUAGGUAGUUGGUGGGGUAAAGGCUCACCAAGCCGACGAUCUGUAGCUGGUCUGAGAGGACGACCAGCCACACUGGGACUGAGACACGGCCCAGACUCCUACGGGAGGCAGCAGUGGGGAAUUUUGGACAAUGGGCGAAAGCCUGCUCCAGCCAUGCCGCGUGCAGGAUGAAGGCCUUCGGGUUGUAAACUGCUUUUGUACGGAACGAAAAGGUUUGGGCUAAUAAGCUGAGCUCAUGACGGUACCGUAAGAAUAAGCACCGGCUAACUACGUGCCAGCCGCCGCCGUAA
RNAcentral lists this ribosomal RNA (500 nucleotides) under uncultured bacterium. RNAcentral's name for it is "partial 16S ribosomal RNA". It matches the Rfam family "Bacterial small subunit ribosomal RNA", at positions 30 to 523 of the family's 1533-position model. The record is from RNAcentral.